This 496-nucleotide ribosomal RNA is filed under the name uncultured bacterium. RNAcentral describes it as "partial 16S ribosomal RNA". It matches the Rfam family "Bacterial small subunit ribosomal RNA", at positions 28 to 506 of the family's 1533-position model. The record is from RNAcentral.
GAUGAACGCUGGCGGCGUGCCUAAUACAUGCAAGUCGAGCGAACAGACGAGGAGCUUGCUCCUCUGACGUUAGCGGCGGACGGGUGAGUAACACGUGGAUAACCUACCUAUAAGACUGGGAUAACUUCGGGAAACCGGAGCUAAUACCGGAUAAUAUAUUGAACCGCAUGGUUCAAUAGUGAAAGACGGUUUUGCUGUCACUUAUAGAUGGAUCCGCGCCGCAUUAGCUAGUUGGUAAGGUAACGGCUUACCAAGGCAACGAUGCGUAGCCGACCUGAGAGGGUGAUCGGCCACACUGGAACUGAGACACGGUCCAGACUCCUACGGGAGGCAGCAGUAGGGAAUCUUCCGCAGUGGGCGAAAGCCUGACGGAGCAACGCCGCGUGAGUGAUGAAGGUCUUCGGAUCGUAAAACUCUGUUAUUAGGGAAGAACAAAUGUGUAAGUAACUAUGCACGUCUUGACGGUACCUAAUUAGAAAGCCACGGCUAACUACGU